UACGAAGGGGGCUAGCGUUGCUCGGAAUGACUGGGCGUAAAGAGCUCGUAGGCGGUCUGUCGCGUCUGCUGUGAAAACUCGGGGCUUAACCCCGGGCCUGCAGUGGGUACGGGCAGACUAGAGUGCGGUAGGGGAGACUGGAAUUCCUGGUGUAGCGGUGAAAUGCGCAGAUAUCAGGAGGAACACCGGUGGCGAAGGCGGGUCUCUGGGCCGUAACUGACGCUGAGGAGCGAAAGCGUGGGGAGCGAACAGG
RNAcentral lists this ribosomal RNA (253 nucleotides) under uncultured bacterium. RNAcentral's name for it is "partial 16S ribosomal RNA". It matches the Rfam family "Bacterial small subunit ribosomal RNA", at positions 524 to 776 of the family's 1533-position model. The record is from RNAcentral.